Suillus variegatus is the source of this 72-nucleotide non-coding RNA. The record is from the annotation of a GenBank genome assembly. Lineage: Eukaryota; Fungi; Basidiomycota; Agaricomycetes; Boletales; Suillaceae.
GGCUGGAUAGUCUAGUGGUUAAGAUGUCCCUCCAGAGUUGGGAAGGCCUAAGUUCAAAUCCUGGUCCUGCCA